This 1372-nucleotide ribosomal RNA is filed under the name uncultured bacterium. RNAcentral's name for it is "bacterial SSU rRNA". It matches the Rfam family "Bacterial small subunit ribosomal RNA", at positions 28 to 1381 of the family's 1533-position model. The record is from RNAcentral.
GAUGAACGCUGGCGGCGUGCCUAAUACAUGCAAGUCGAGCGAACGGACGAGAAGCUUGCUUCUCUGAUGUUAGCGGCGGACGGGUGAGUAACACGUGGAUAACCUACCUAUAAGACUGGGAUAACUUCGGGAAACCGGAGCUAAUACCGGAUGAUAUUUUGAACCGCAUGGUUCAAAAGUGAAAGACGGUCUUGCUGUCACUUAUAGAUGGAUCCGCGCUGCAUUAGCUAGUUGGUAAGGUAACGGCUUACCAAGGCAACGAUGCAUAGCCGACCUGAGAGGGUGAUCGGCCACACUGGAACUGAGACACGGUCCAGACUCCUACGGGAGGCAGCAGUAGGGAAUCUUCCGCAAUGGGCGAAAGCCUGACGGAGCAACGCCGCGUGAGUGAUGAAGGUCUUCGGAUCGUAAAACUCUGUUAUUAGGGAAGAACAUAUGUGUAAGUAACUGUGCACAUCUUGACGGUACCUAAUCAGAAAGCCACGGCUAACUACGUGCCAGCAGCCGCGGUAAUACGUAGGUGGCAAGCGUUAUCCGGAAUUAUUGGGCGUAAAGCGCGCGUAGGCGGUUUUUUAAGUCUGAUGUGAAAGCCCACGGCUCAACCGUGGAGGGUCAUUGGAAACUGGAAAACUUGAGUGCAGAAGAGGAAAGUGGAAUUCCAUGUGUAGCGGUGAAAUGCGCAGAGAUAUGGAGGAACACCAGUGGCGAAGGCGACUUUCUGGUCUGUAACUGACGCUGAUGUGCGAAAGCGUGGGGAUCAAACAGGAUUAGAUACCCUGGUAGUCCACGCCGUAAACGAUGAGUGCUAAGUGUUAGGGGGUUUCCGCCCCUUAGUGCUGCAGCUAACGCAUUAAGCACUCCGCCUGGGGAGUACGACCGCAAGGUUGGAACUCAAAGGAAUUGACGGGGACCCGCACAAGCGGUGGAGCAUGUGGUUUAAUUCGAAGCAACGCGAAGAACCUUACCAAAUCUUGACAUCCUUUGACAACUCUAGAGAUAGAGCCUUCCCCUUCGGGGGACAAAGUGACAGGUGGUGCAUGGUUGUCGUCAGCUCGUGUCGUGAGAUGUUGGGUUAAGUCCCGCAACGAGCGCAACCCUUAAGCUUAGUUGCCAUCAUUAAGUUGGGCACUCUAAGUUGACUGCCGGUGACAAACCGGAGGAAGGUGGGGAUGACGUCAAAUCAUCAUGCCCCUUAUGAUUUGGGCUACACACGUGCUACAAUGGACAAUACAAAGGGCAGCGAAACCGCGAGGUCAAGCAAAUCCCAUAAAGUUGUUCUCAGUUCGGAUUGUAGUCUGCAACUCGACUACAUGAAGCUGGAAUCGCUAGUAAUCGUAGAUCAGCAUGCUACGGUGAAUACGUUCCCGGGUCU